UUACUUUCUGAAGUUGAUAGAUUGGAAAAAGGCUCUCUCUCGUUUUCAAGACAAAGAAUUUUCUCUUUCUUUUUUGCUUUGUUUCGGUUUUCUCUCUUGGACUUGUUGAGUGACUUGCCUUCCGUAGGCUUUCAUUGCCCUUUUUGGGUAGGGAAAGGCUCUUCUCCGAUCUUGUUCUCCCUCCCCAUCUCGGGUUGGAUUGUAAACAACCUUUUGUUUUGGUCUUUGGUUUUCAAAUCUUGAAGCUUCACAAAGAGAGGACCUGUAGAAGAUUUGCGUGUGUUUUCAUCGAUCGAAGGAGUCUCCAAGUCGACAUGGUUGAUUGCUUGGUCCUGCCCCAUGGGAGGGUGCAUGUAGCUACUGUAAGGAAGGUUACCUCAGGGGUGGCCUAGGGGUAUGUGAUCGUAG
RNAcentral lists this unclassified non-coding RNA (408 nucleotides) under Hevea brasiliensis (rubber tree). The record is from RNAcentral. Lineage: Eukaryota; Viridiplantae; Streptophyta; Magnoliopsida; Malpighiales; Euphorbiaceae.